AAAAAGCAUACCUCCAAACUUUGCAAUGGGGCGAAUCUGGACCUGAAAUGUGGGUGUCUCCAGUGAUGCAAUUUGUGUCACGUCAAAAAUAAGCCACACAGAAAGCAGCCAGCCUCACCCACUGAAGAGGCAUGUGAGAGAAGUGCCAAACAUUCUAAGGUCACAAACAGCUUACCGACUGGCGCCCUGUACAGAGAUCCAUGCACAGAGUACUGCUUAAGCACUUUCUGCAUGGUCCUAGUGACCAGGGCACAGCAUAUGUGAGUCUGAUGAUGCCCUUGCAUCAGGACACCAGGGAACAAUAUUUGGACAGGACCCCGAAAUCGAGACUGUCCGCCAAAGAACAGUUGGUAGGCAUGCAGGAAGUGCCUCGUAGGAUGAGCAGGAACAGCAUUGCGUGAUGCAUAAUGUGCAACGGCUCAUGCAUUUUUGUUAUUAUUCACCAGAGGCUGAAUAGACUACAGAAGAAAGUGAGUACUUUGCAAAUAAUCCAUCAAUGGAAGCACAUCUGGUUCAUGGCGAUAUGAGCUAUGAAGCGCGCUUGCAUCACAGGGAGGUGGUGGAUUCCAGAUGCACGAGUAGCAGACUGCAAGCGGAGACUGUAAGCUAAGGCGCUGUGGACUUCAUGGAGCUUUUUCCUUAAAAUGCUGUUUGUUUUUUAUGAAGUAAGAGUUUUUUUUAUCUAUACUGUAUAAUAAAGUUUUUUGGUGGUAUCAUGCUAUUGGCUCUCUCCCUGCCUUUCUCUUUUAUGUGUUGUGGGAUAUACACUAAAGUAACGAUCAUUAAUGGGUUUUUAAGGGGUGUAUUUAUUUUCUUAGUUUUUUUUAGUAUUUCAGGCUCAUGUGUAUAUAUGUAAUAUACAAGGUCUAAGUAUUAAGAUCUUUUGAAUAACUUAUUAAGUGCAGC
Molecule: non-coding RNA, 906 nt
Organism: Pelobates cultripes (western spadefoot toad)
Lineage: Eukaryota; Metazoa; Chordata; Amphibia; Anura; Pelobatidae
Source: the annotation of a GenBank genome assembly